GAUGAACGCUAGCUACAGGCUUAACACAUGCAAGUCGAGGGGCAUCAGGAAGAAAGCUUGCUUUCUUUGCUGGCGACCGGCGCACGGGUGAGUAACACGUAUCCAACCUGCCCUUUACUCGGGGAUAGCCUUUCGAAAGAAAGAUUAAUACCCGAUGGCAUAAUGAUUCCGCAUGGGAAUAUUUGUUAAAGAUUCAUCGCUGAUAGAUAGGCAUGCGUUCCAUUAGGCAGUUGGCGGGGUAACGGCCCACCAAACCGACGAUGGAUAGGGGUUCUGAGAGGAAGGUCCCCCACAUUGGUACUGAGACACGGACCAA
RNAcentral lists this ribosomal RNA (316 nucleotides) under uncultured bacterium. RNAcentral describes it as "bacterial SSU rRNA". It matches the Rfam family "Bacterial small subunit ribosomal RNA", at positions 28 to 334 of the family's 1533-position model. The record is from RNAcentral.